CCGGAGGGUCCCCCGGCCCCGCCCCGCCGCAGCGAGCGCGGCCUCCGCAGGCACCAUCGGCGGUCCGGGCGCCCGCCGGCCCCGCGGGAGGAUGUUGUUACUCUACAACCUGAUGGAUGAUCCCACACAGAAUCACUGAAUCAAUUAGGUUGGAAAAGAUUUCUGCAAUCCCUGAGUCCAGCCCGUGAUGGAUCAUAACCUUGUAAACUAGACCAGAGCACAUCCAGGCUUUCCUUAACCAUCUCCAGGGAUGGUGACUCUGCCACCUCCCUUGGCAGGCCCUUCCAAUGUCUAAUCACCCUUUCUGUAAAAAAAUUCUUCCUGAUGUACAACCUAAACCUUCCCUGGCACAGCUUAAGGCCCUGUCUUCUCAUCCUGUCGCUCGUUGCCUGGGAGAAGAAGCUAAAACUCCUUUCAGGUAGUUAAAGAAGUAAUGGUGAAAGCCACAAGCUUUUCAAGUAAUGAAAUAAUUAGAUAGAGGUUGUACUGGUCAGAAGACAUUAUUAGGUAAAAAAAUAAAUAAA
Molecule: long non-coding RNA, 524 nt
Organism: Zonotrichia leucophrys gambelii
Lineage: Eukaryota; Metazoa; Chordata; Aves; Passeriformes; Passerellidae
Exons: 2
Source: RefSeq, a predicted model, not a curated record